GAUGAAGAACGCAGCGAAAUGCGAUAAGUAAUGUGAAUUGCAGAAUUCAGUGAAUCAUCGAAUCUUUGAACGCACCUUGCACCCUUUGGCAUUCCGAAGGGUAUGCUCGUUUGAGUGUCAUUGUACUCUCACACUCCCACUCUUUUGGAUUGGGAGCGGUGGACUUGGGUGUUGCUGCUUCACUGUGGCUCGCCUCAAAUGGAGUAGUGCAACUCUCGGUUGGACAUAGUACGGCGUGAUAAGUGUCUUCGCCGGCGCCUCACUAGAGGGUGGCCGAUCGGGAGCUCUGUGCUUCAAACCGUCUUCGGACAAUCUCUGACAACUUGACCUCAAAUCGAGUAGGACUACCCGCUGAACUUAAGCAUAUCAAUAAGCGGAGGA
RNAcentral lists this unclassified non-coding RNA (381 nucleotides) under soil metagenome. Its description in RNAcentral is "partial contains 5.8S ribosomal RNA, internal transcribed spacer 2, and large subunit ribosomal RNA". The stretch from base 1 to 120 matches the Rfam family "5.8S ribosomal RNA", at positions 35 to 154 of the family's 154-position model. The record is from RNAcentral.